CAUGAAGUCGGAAUCGCUAGUAAUCGUGGAUCAGAAUGCCACGGUGAAUACGUUCCCGGGCCUUGUACACACCGCCCGUCACACCAUGGGAGUGGGUUGCAAAAGAAGUAGGUAGCUUAACCUUCGGGAGGGCGCUUACCACUUUGUGAUUCAUGACUGGGGUGAAGUCGUAACAAGGUAACCGUAGGGGAACCUGCGGUUGGAUCACCUCCUUA
This 215-nucleotide ribosomal RNA is filed under the name Escherichia coli. Its description in RNAcentral is "partial 16S ribosomal RNA". It matches the Rfam family "Bacterial small subunit ribosomal RNA", at positions 1319 to 1533 of the family's 1533-position model. Lineage: Bacteria; Pseudomonadati; Pseudomonadota; Gammaproteobacteria; Enterobacterales; Enterobacteriaceae. The record is from RNAcentral. RNAcentral also lists the same sequence under 1 other name.